This 253-nucleotide ribosomal RNA is filed under the name uncultured bacterium. RNAcentral describes it as "partial 16S ribosomal RNA". It matches the Rfam family "Bacterial small subunit ribosomal RNA", at positions 524 to 776 of the family's 1533-position model. The record is from RNAcentral.
UACAGGGGGUGCAAACGUUGCUCGGAAUUAUUGGGCGUAAAGCGCACGUAGGCGGUCUGUUAUGUCGGAUGUGAAAGCCCUUGGCUCAACUGAGGAAGUGCAUCCGAAACUGGCAGGCUAGAGUACGUAAGAGGGUCGCGGAAUUCCCAGUGUAGCGGUGAAAUGCGUAGAUAUUGGGAGGAACACCAGUGGCGAAGGCGGCUCACUGGACCGGAACUGACGCUGAGGCGCGAAAGCGUGGGGAGCAAACGGG